Molecule: long non-coding RNA, 289 nt
Filed under: Vigna radiata
Lineage: Eukaryota; Viridiplantae; Streptophyta; Magnoliopsida; Fabales; Fabaceae
Description: long non-coding RNA (VRAD_LNC008298)
Source: RNAcentral
AGGGUCAGGAGGACUCCGAUGACAGCAUGGGCUGAUAGCAGACAUCUACUGAGGGAUGUCCAUAGACAGAAUUUAGUUUUUCUUUCUUUUACUUUUAUUUUUUUUUAUUUUAGUUUAUUUUAUUUUAGUUCAUUUUAAAUUCUUAGAAUAGGUUGAAUUUUAAUUUUGGUGUGUACUCUUGGCUUUAACACUUGUUCUGAAAAUGUUUGACUGACUGAUUUGCAUGAUGGAGCUAUUUGAUGUUUAUUUGAUGUGGAUGAGAAUUGAGUUGCAAUGCAUGUUGAUAUUC